CUAACGAGGAUUCCCCUAGUAACUGCGAGUGAAGCGGGAAAAGCUCAAAUUUAAAAUCUGACAGUAUUUUGCUGUCCGAGUUGUAACCUAGAGAAGUGUAGCCCGUGCUGGACCGUGUACAAGUCUCCUGGAACGGAGCGUCGGAGAGGGUGAGAAUCCCGUCUUUGACAUGGACUACCAGUGCAUUGUGGUUGUGCUCUCAACGAGUCGAGUUGUUUGGGAAUGCAGCUCUAAAUGGGUGGUAAAUUCCAUCUAAAGCUAAAUAUUGGCGAGAGACCGAUAGCGAACAAGUACCGUGAGGGAAAGAUGAAAAGAACUUUGGAAAGAGAGUUAAACAGUAUGUGAAAUUGUUGAAAGGGAAACGUUUGAAGUCAGACAUGUUGGCUGGGGAUCAAGCURGCAAUAAUUUGCUGGUUUCACUUCCUGGUUGACAGGCCAACAUCAGUUUUGACCAGCRGAGAAAGGCGAAGGGAAUGUGGCACCUUCGGGUGUGUUAUAGCUCUUGGUCAUAUGUGUUGGUUGGGACUGAGGAAAGCAGCGUGCCGCAAGGCCGGGUUUCGACCACGUUCGCGCUUAGGAUGUUGGCAUAAUGGCUUUAAGCGACCCGUCUUGAAACACGGACCAAGGAGUCUAACAUGCAUGCGAGUGUUUGGGUGGAAAACUCAUUCGCGUAAUGAAAGUGAAAGUUGAGAACCCUGUCGUGGGGAGCAUCGACGCCCGGACCAGAACUUUUGGGACGGAUCUGCGGUAGAGCAUGUAUGUUGGGACCCGAAAGAUGGUGAACUAUGCCUGAAUAGGGUGAAGCCAGAGGAAACU
RNAcentral lists this ribosomal RNA (816 nucleotides) under Amanita sp. 'AUS17'. RNAcentral describes it as "Amanita sp. 'sp-AUS17' partial 28S ribosomal RNA". It matches the Rfam family "Eukaryotic large subunit ribosomal RNA", at positions 65 to 863 of the family's 3401-position model. Lineage: Eukaryota; Fungi; Basidiomycota; Agaricomycetes; Agaricales; Amanitaceae. The record is from RNAcentral.